RNAcentral lists this ribosomal RNA (996 nucleotides) under Acinetobacter johnsonii. RNAcentral's name for it is "partial 16S ribosomal RNA". The stretch from base 1 to 869 matches the Rfam family "Bacterial small subunit ribosomal RNA". The record is from RNAcentral. Lineage: Bacteria; Pseudomonadati; Pseudomonadota; Gammaproteobacteria; Moraxellales; Moraxellaceae.
GAUGAACGCUCGCUGUGUGCCUAAUACAUGCAUGUUGAACGGGAUGUAGCAAUACAUUCAGUAGCGAAUGGGUGAGUAACACGUACCUAACCUACCUUUAAGACUGGGAUAACUAUUGGAAACAAUAGCUAAUACCGGAUAUAGUUAUUUAUCGCAUGAUGAGUAAUAGAAAGGAGCUUCACAGCUUCACUUAAAAAUGGGGGUGCGGAACAUUAGUUAGUUGGUAGGGGAAUGGCCUACCAAGACGAUGAUGUUUAGCCGGGGCGAGAGACUGUACGGGCACACUGUGACUGAGACACGGGCCAGACUCCUACGGGGGAGAGCAGUAGGGAUAUCUUCGAAAGGGGGGGACCCUGACCGGGCAAGCCCGGGGAGGAAAAGGUUUUUGAUUUAAAGCUCUUUUGUUUAGAAAGCGAGUGUGAAAAUGGAAGUUCAUAUUGGUCCUACUUAACCAGAAAAGGGACGGCUAACUACGUGCCACCAGCCGCGGGAAACGUGGGGCCCGACCGUUGUCCCGGAUUUAUUGGGGCGAAAACGAGCGCGGGGGGGGUAGAUAAGUCUUGAAGUAAAAGGCAGUGGCUCCACCCAUUUUUGGGGCUUUGGAAACUGUUUAACUUUGGGGGCCGGAAGGGGAGGAGUGGAUUUUCCUGUGUAGCGGGGAAAAGCCGAGAAAAUAUGGGGGAACGCCGGGGGGGAAAGGGGUUCUUUUGGCUCUUAACUAACCCUGAGGCUUGAAAACGGGGGGGGGCAAAAAGGAUAAGAAAACCCGGGAAGUCCAAGGGGGAAAUUUCCCAUUGGGGGUGCACCCCGGGGGGUCCCUCCUAGUUUCUAGAGGGGGCCCCCCCCGGGGGCCUCCAAUUCCCCCCAUAGGGAGGGGCGGAUAGCGGGCGCUCCCGUGGCGCUCUUUUUAAAACCUCCGGACUGGGAAAACCCUUUGUCUUCCCCAAUUUAAUCGCCUGGAGGAACAUCCUCUUUUUUUUAUUUGUGGAAAAAUCC